UAAACCAAACUAAAAUUCCAACCACAUACAUUAUUUCAAAAUGAGGAAAUUAACCCAAAAAAAAAAAAAUCACACAAAUUUUAUAACUGCGUAAGUUCCUUUAUUGCUGCUCAAGUGUCAUCAAGUUUGGAAGAUCUAUUCUUUAGUGGGAUAAAAGCUAUAAUCACCAAUGUUUUUUUUCCGCUACAAUAUACAAGACAGGUUGCAACAGUUCUUUUAUGAUUUGGCAGCGAUUUUUGAAACAGCAACAAAUAAACUACUGUUAUUUCAUAUAUAUUGGUUUUGUUGUCCACUCUUUGUCUUUAGACAAAGAAUGAAGAUAUUUAUAAGAGACUUUGAUACUUAAGUUAAUAAAUGUUUUAGUAGAAUUUAAAAAAAAAAUAAAUGAUCUUUUACCUGAAAUGUAUAUGUAUUUAUAAAAAUGGAAUGUAGAUAAUUUGGUCUUUUUUUAUAUUAUUACAAGUUAUUGUUCGAUGAUGGUGAGUAGUUAUCCCUCCAUUAUAUAGGCAAUUACUAAAUAAUGGAGUAUUUUUCCCUUUCUAUACUAUGUAACCAUAAUGGAGAGUUUUCACUACCACAAAAACGGAAGAUAGCAGACAAUUAGCAGCUAUUUUGACAAUCGUCGCUAUCUAACGAUUUUCCAGCAGUUUCAGUGGUGAACGCAGGAAGAGCAGCUAUUUGAUUUGAUUUUGCCACAAAUUUUUGAAAAAAUGCUGCUAAUCUAAAUUUUUUUGGCGAUAUUUUAAUUCCUAUUUCCCAAAAACACAACACUCAGCACUCAGCAGCUUCAACAAAUAAAAAAAAAAAGAAAGAAAGCAAUGUUAAGAGAAGAGAGGGAGAAACAGAGAAGGAGAGGAAAGGGAGGAAGGAGCUGGGCCGGCGCUGCUGAGUUCGCUGCCGCCGUCGCGUUGCCGUGCCGUUAGAAAGCCAGAACCGCAAGAGAAAGAACUGCGAAGAGAGAGGGAGACCGCAUCAGCUCACCGCGAAGCCAGCGCCGUCGUCGUCCUCAUCGCGGGUCUGCACCGUCGCCUCUUGCCACCGCCGCCACCACUAAGCUUGCUGUCAUCGCCACUGAAGCCGAAGAGAGAGAGAGUGUGUUCGCGAAGAGAGGGAGAGCGCGCGCUCACGAAGGAGAAGAACGACGAAGAGUGAAGGAGAAGCAGAAGAUGAUGAACCCAGGGGAGAAGGAGGAGGUUCGUUCUUGCACCGUCCUGCUAUGCCGCCGCGGCUACCGUCGAUUGGGGUCAAGGCCGUCGCCGUCGCACCCUGUUCCAGUCGCCAUUAGGGUUUUUUGUUGUUGUCAUUGAUAGCGCCGCCGCUGGGAGGAGCCGAAAGGGGAGAGGAGGUCGCCGUCAAACACGCCGCCACCAGUUACAACCGUCGCCGAAACCAGGACAGAUUCACCAAUAACUCUGCUUCUUCCUUUCUUGAAUAUGUUCUGCUUCUAUUUUGUUCCAAUAUUCUCCUAACUUUCUUUCUAUGCACUUUGAAAUUGGUUUUGCUAAUUUUUUUGUACCCAGUAAUUGCUUUGCUUCAUCGAUGGUAUGUCUUGCUUGCUUUUCAAAUUUAAUUUUGCUGCCUGACUGACAAUGACAUGGGUAUUGUACAUUUUAUUGAUUUAUUAUUUCCUUGGAUAUGUUGUACUGGCACUUGAUAAACUUGUUCUCCACCAUGAGGGUGUUGAGAUAUUAUACUCAUUAAAACAAAGGUAGAUUUCAUUACUUGCUUCCUCUCAUUUGAUGGCGUUUACCUAUGUGGGGGUGUGUCGUGUUUGCUUUUCAAAUUUAAUUUUGCCCAAGCUCCAAGUUGUAACAGUAAUGAACAUUAUUGGUAUGCUAGAGGCCUAAGGUAUUUUAUUAAUUUUUUCAUGACUGUGCUUGUAAGAGGAUCAUUUGAUUUCAAACUACAGUCAAGUAAGUGCAAUCAUGUAAUUAGAAUUAAUGUGCCUUAGGAUAACUUAGUUAUUUUUAUGAUGGAUAUGAGAAUAUUAAGUAAUGAUUAGCCUUUGCAUCUUAUGUGAAUGGUCCCAAUUGAACCUUCUUUACAAGUCUCGUUCUUUCUAAUUGAUAAAUGUUGUUUUCCUCUUGGGAAGUUCAUUAUGACGAGUAUUUGGAGUCAAUGUGAUCUCAAACUCUGUUUGUUACUGUUGGUUAAGCUUCUAUUUUGUAGUGGCUUAGAAGUAGACAGAGACACUAUAACUGGGCCACUAAAGGGUCUAACAGCAAUGAUGAAAAGCAGAGUUCGGAUUCUAAAAGUGUUGUGGAGUUAACUAUUGGAAUAUCAGAAGAAGCUCAGCAAGUAACCAGUGAUGAUGCACCA
Arachis ipaensis is the source of this 2319-nucleotide non-coding RNA. The record is from RefSeq and is a predicted model, not a curated record. Lineage: Eukaryota; Viridiplantae; Streptophyta; Magnoliopsida; Fabales; Fabaceae.